ACGCACGCUGGCGGCGUGCUUCACCCAUGCCAGUCGCACGGAAAGGCCCUGCUUUUGUGGGGUGCUCGAGUGGCGAACGGGUGAGUAACACGUGAGUAACCUGCCCUUGACUUUGGGGUAACUUCAGGAAACUGGGGCUAAUACCGGAUAGGAGCUCCUGCUGCAUGGUGGGGGUUGGAAAGUUUCGGCGGUUGGGGAUGGACUCGCGGCUUAUCAGCUUGUUGGUGGGGUAGUGGCUUACCAAGGCUUUGACGGGUAGCCGGCCUGAGAGGGUGACCGGCCACAUUGGGACUGAGAUACGGCCCAGACUCCUACGGGAGGCAGCAGUGGGGAAUAUUGCACAAUGGGCGGAAGCCUGAUGCAGCAACGCCGCGUGCGGGAUGACGGCCUUCGGGUUGUAAACCGCUUUCGCCUGUGACGAAGCGUGAGUGACGGUAAUGGGUAAAGAAGCACCGGCUAACUACGUG
This 467-nucleotide ribosomal RNA is filed under the name uncultured bacterium. RNAcentral describes it as "partial 16S ribosomal RNA". It matches the Rfam family "Bacterial small subunit ribosomal RNA", at positions 29 to 507 of the family's 1533-position model. The record is from RNAcentral.